This 246-nucleotide ribosomal RNA is filed under the name uncultured bacterium. Its description in RNAcentral is "partial 16S ribosomal RNA". It matches the Rfam family "Bacterial small subunit ribosomal RNA", at positions 87 to 334 of the family's 1533-position model. The record is from RNAcentral.
UAUGGCGACUGGCGCACGGGUGAGUAACACGUAUCCAACCUGCCGAUGACUCGGGGAUAGCCUUUCGAAAGAAAGAUUAAUACCCGAUGGCAUAGUUCUUCCGCAUGGUAGAACUAUUAAAGAAUUUCGGUCAUCGAUGGGGAUGCGUUCCAUUAGGUUGUUGGCGGGGUAACGGCCCACCAAGCCUUCGAUGGAUAGGGGUUCUGAGAGGAAGGUCCCCCACAUUGGAACUGAGACACGGUCCAA